UGCAUGAGCUUCCUGUUGCUUCUGUGCCCAUUUCUGUGCUCUUCGUCUCUCUCUCUCUUUCUCUCUCUUAUAAAUGAUGUACAGUAGCUGUGUAAGAAGUGCAUGUGUGCCAACUUUGCCCUUGUGGUGCAACAUUUCAGCUUUUGCCCACUGUACGGUUAUUGGUUUCGUUUCUUUUAGUUACUAAAGCAAAUUUGACCCUACUCUUUUUCCUCAUCCCAAGUCCAAUCCAACACCCUGCGUUUGCUCACCACAAUACGUUUUAAACAGAAGUGCCAGGCAAAAUUCUGUUAGUUCCUGUCGGCUUGACUAGCUAGCUGCCUAGCCCUCCGUGUUUAGUUUGCAAUGCUGUAAAUGGCAUGCUCUGUGCUUAUGACUCUGGAUUUGCUUUUCUCACCAAAGUCAGAUUUGUAAAUUCUUUGCAGUUUUUGUUUUGUUUUGCUCUCUUUGUUAACGUUUCCCACUACUGCUGUACAUGUGUCAUGAUAUAUAUAUGCUAGUCAGCAGCACCUUGCUGUAGAUAUUAAAGGAAAUGGCGGUUUAGUUCUUUUGUUUUCCAGUAGGAGUAUUGAAUCUGUCAAACAUAUUAUGUAGAGAUGGUCCCACACUUAUAUUUUUCCUGUUUCAAGUUUUUUUAAGAAAGGCGCUGUUCAUUAUGCAAAAUCAAUUAUUUUAAGAAUUGCUAUUGUAAAUAUCUUUGUGAAUAUUUUAGUAUCGUCUUUGAUAAUAUUCAGCAUUUUCAUGAUCUGGUUAUACUUUUGCUGGUGUUUUUAAAUACCUUGUCUGAAGAAAAAUAUGGGUCCUUUUUUAAAAAAGAAAAUUGAGGGUUCUUUAACAGAAUAAGGGAGUUGGGUUUUUUUCUUUUUUUCCCCUCCUGUUUUCUUUUGAUAAAUUAGCCCAAAUUUCAUGUCCAUUUAUGUGUUGAAUGAACUGAUACAUCAGGCAGUACCUGGACAAUCAGGGCCCAGCUCUGUCGAGGAAACAUAAUAAUAAGUGAUUGCCUAGGGCAAAAAAACCCCAAACAACUAACUGACCGAUGUUCACUGGCUGUGGGUGGUUGAGGGCUGGUAAUGGCAGAGACGUUGUUCGUUUGCCCAAGUGAGCAGAACACCUAGGACCAGCUGUCUGAACAGGUAAAGAUGCACUAAGGCAAGCAGCAAAUAUGUGAGGUACCGUAUUUAUCUCGCUCCGGUCUCUGGAACCAGGGCACAGUAACACUUUGGGAUGUUGGUGGGUGGGGAAGGGAAACAGUAUAGUAUAUUUUAUUCUGCUUAGAAGUGUCUUUUUUCUUAUGUAGGCUUGACAACCUGUAGAGGAUCUCUGCAGAGUAUUAAAGAUACCUUGAACGUGAGACAAAACACAAUUUUUACCCAUCACCCAAAUGUUGGACAUUUGAGACAGUUUUAAAACUUAUCUGUCAGCUAAAAUCAGGUACUGUAUAGCGGAGUCAGUAUGAAAAGGCUUCUAAAUGAAAAUUUAGUUAUUUUUUUAUCUGUUCACUGCCAUAUUAAAGUUUAGAGAAAAAAAGCCUAGCAA
This 1536-nucleotide long non-coding RNA is filed under the name Strigops habroptila (Kakapo). Its description in RNAcentral is "lncRNA (ENSSHBG00005008083.1)". Lineage: Eukaryota; Metazoa; Chordata; Aves; Psittaciformes; Psittacidae. The record is from RNAcentral.